This 255-nucleotide ribosomal RNA is filed under the name uncultured bacterium. RNAcentral describes it as "partial 16S ribosomal RNA". It matches the Rfam family "Bacterial small subunit ribosomal RNA", at positions 524 to 776 of the family's 1533-position model. The record is from RNAcentral.
GACAGAGGGUGCAAACGUUGUUCGGAAUUACUGGGCGUAAAGCGAGUGUAGGCGGUUUGGUAAGUCGGAUGUGGAAAGCCCCGGGCUCAACCCGGGAAGUGCACUCGAUACUGCCAAGCUAGAGUAUCGGAGAGGUUGGUGGAAUUCUCGGUGUAGAGGUGAAAUUCGUAGAUAUCGAGAGGAACACCGGGUGGCGAAGGCGGCCAACUGGACGAAUACUGACGCUGAGACUCGAAAGCGUGGGGAGCAAACAGG